AGGGAAUCUUGCGCAAUGGGCGAAAGCCUGACGCAGCGACGCCGCGUGAGGGAAGAAGGCCUUCGGGUUGUAAACCUCUUUCAGGAGGGACGAAGCCACUCGGGUUAAUAGCCUAGAGGGUGACGGUACCUCCAGAAGAAGCCCCGGCUAACUACGUGCCAGCAGCCGCGGUAAUACGUAGGGGGCAAGCGUUGCCCGGAUUUAUUGGGCGUAAAGAGCGUGUAGGCGGCCAUUCAGGUCAGCUGUGAAAACUCGAGGCUCAACCUCGAGACGUCGGUUGAAACCGUUUGGCUAGAGUCCGGAAGAGGAGAGUGGAAUUCCCGGUGUAGCGGUGAAAUGCGCAGAUAUCGGGAGGAACACCCGUGGCGAAGGCGGCUCUCUGGGACGGUACUGACGCUGAGACGCGAAAGCGUGGGGAGCAAAC
This 424-nucleotide ribosomal RNA is filed under the name uncultured bacterium. RNAcentral describes it as "bacterial SSU rRNA". It matches the Rfam family "Bacterial small subunit ribosomal RNA", at positions 356 to 773 of the family's 1533-position model. The record is from RNAcentral.